GCCUGGGUGGCUCAGUCGGUUGAGCGUCCGAUCUCGGCUCGGGUCAUAUCUCACAGUGUGAGUUCGAGCCCCGCAUCGGGCU
RNAcentral lists this transfer RNA (82 nucleotides) under Felis catus (domestic cat). It matches the Rfam family "tRNA". From Rfam's summary of the family: Transfer RNA (tRNA) molecules are approximately 80 nucleotides in length. Their secondary structure includes four short double-helical elements and three loops (D, anti-codon, and T loops). RNAcentral also lists the same sequence under 1 other name. Lineage: Eukaryota; Metazoa; Chordata; Mammalia; Carnivora; Felidae. The record is from Rfam by way of RNAcentral.